ACUGGGGGACGUAUAACCGGAAUAAUAAUUUCGGUUAGCUAUGAUGGUAGUUACUUUUUUAAAGUGCUUAUUAAAACGAAAAUGGUAAAACAAAUUAUUUUUAAUGGGUAACAAAGAAAAAGCUAGCUUUUAUUGUAGGCAGUUAGAUAACUAUUAUUGUUAUUCAAUAAAGUUUAUAUUUGUCGUGUUGAGUAUUUACUCAAACAAACGCAUAGUGGGACUUUUGUCGCGUAAAGUUCUAGAUAUUAAACUGAUUAUGACAAUUUUUUAUCUAUAUGUCUUGACCAAAUUACGUGCCAGCAGUCGCGGUAAUACGUAGAAGACUAGUGUUAUUCAUCUUUAGUAGGUUUAAAGGGUACGUAGACGGUGAAAUUUAUCUAUGCGAUAUGUUUUCACUAGAGUUAUAUAUGAGGAGGGGAGUAUUUAUGGAGUAGAGUUGAAAUUCGUUGAUACCAUAACGACUGGUAACGGCGAAAGCAACCUUUUAUCUAAUAACUGACGUUCAGGGACGAAGGCUCGGGUCACGAACAGGAUUAGAUACCCUAGUAGUCCAAGCAGAGAAUUAUGAAUGCCAUAGAUUAGAUUUUUUUAGUCUAUAAAUGAAAGUGUAAGCAUUUCACCUCAAGAGUAAUGUGGCAACGCAGGAACUGAAAUCAUUAGACCGUUUCUGAAACCAGUAGUGAAGUAUGUUAUUUAAUUCGUAAGCACGCGAAAAACCUUACCACAAUUUGAAUAUUAUCAUUAAGAUAUUACAAGCGUUGCACGGCUGUCUUCAGUUGAUGUCGUGAGAUAUUGGUUAAUUCCUUUAAAUUAACGGAAGCCCUUGCUUUAUUUGUUUUUUAUUGAAAUACGGGCUAUAAAAACCCCUUAAGAAGUACAUUUUUAUAACUUACAAUUUAUAAAAAUAUUUUCAAUAAAAUGAAUAAAGCAGUUCACCUUUACAUUGGA
This 948-nucleotide ribosomal RNA is filed under the name fungal sp. RNAcentral's name for it is "mitochondrial SSU rRNA". The stretch from base 182 to 948 matches the Rfam family "Bacterial small subunit ribosomal RNA", at positions 1 to 1165 of the family's 1533-position model. Lineage: Eukaryota; Fungi. The record is from RNAcentral.